Molecule: long non-coding RNA, 646 nt
Organism: Spinacia oleracea (spinach)
Lineage: Eukaryota; Viridiplantae; Streptophyta; Magnoliopsida; Caryophyllales; Amaranthaceae
Exons: 2
Source: RefSeq, a predicted model, not a curated record
AGGACGUCGAUUAGAGGAGGCAGAGUAGCUCGCGGGGCAGCGUCGUCGACCAGUGGUGUCGCUCGUGCCAAUGCCGUGAGCAAUGCCACAGGAGGGGCGACAACCACUGUGACGAGUGGAGACGGAUCGCAUGGUGCAGUGACGACCACCAAUCAUGAGCUUGUUGGGGUGACGAAGGAGCAAGUCCAGCAAAUAGUUGACAUCUUGUCACGACCUUCAACCAAGUUGCAAGGACCGCUCGACGAGGAUGGUGAUUGGCGUAGGUGAUCGACAGGAAGGACUAUAUUUUUUCCGUGGGGCUCCAAAGGUUCGUGUGCUAGCAGUGGAGUGUGUGGUCGACUUGUGGCAUCAACGGAUGGGGCAUCCGUCGGAAAAAGUGUUGCAGUUACUUCCUCAUGUGAGUCAUAAGAUUAGGAAGAAUAAAACAAUUUGUGAUGUAUGUCCGCGGGCGAGACAAUGUAGGGAGAGUUUUCCAGUUAGUGUUAGUCGUGCUAGUCGCACAUUUGAAUUGGUUCAUCUUGAUUUAUGGGGACCCUACAAGACUCCCUCGUCUUGUGGGGCAAAGUAUUUUUUUACCAUUGUUGACGAUUAUUCUAGAGGUGUGUGGAUUUAUUUACUGAAUAAUAAAAUGGAAGUUGCAUCGACA